This 564-nucleotide ribosomal RNA is filed under the name Aspergillus amstelodami. RNAcentral describes it as "eukaryotic LSU rRNA". The stretch from base 162 to 315 matches the Rfam family "5.8S ribosomal RNA". Lineage: Eukaryota; Fungi; Ascomycota; Eurotiomycetes; Eurotiales; Aspergillaceae. The record is from RNAcentral.
CCUGCGGAAGGAUCAUUACCGAGUGCGGGCCCUCUGGGUCCAACCUCCCAUCCGUGUCUAUCUGUACCCUGUUGCUUCGGCGUGGCCACGGCCCGCCGGAGACUAACAUUUGAACGCUGUCUGAAGUUUGCAGUCUGAGUUUUUAGUUAAACAAUCGUUAAAACUUUCAACAACGGAUCUCUUGGUUCCGGCAUCGAUGAAGAACGCAGCGAAAUGCGAUAAUUAAUGUGAAUUGCAGAAUUCAGUGAAUCAUCGAGUCUUUGAACGCACAUUGCGCCCCCUGGUAUUCCGGGGGGCAUGCCUGUCCGAGCGUCAUUGCUGCCCUCAAGCACGGCUUGUGUGUUGGGCUUCCGUCCCUGGCAACGGGGACGGGCCCAAAAGGCAGUGGCGGCACCAUGUCUGGUCCUCGAGCGUAUGGGGCUUUGUCACCCGCUCCCGUAGGUCCAGCUGGCAGCUAGCCUCGCAACCAAUCUUUUUAACCAGGUUGACCUCGGAUCAGGUAGGGAUACCCGCUGAACUUAAGCAUAUCAAUAGCCGGGAGGAAGAUCAUUACCGAGUGCGGGC